AGUGAACGCUGGCGGUAGGCCUAACACAUGCAAGUCGAACGGCAGCACAGUAAGAGCUUGCUCUUACGGGUGGCGAGUGGCGGACGGGUGAGGAAUACAUCGGAAUCUACUUUUUCGUGGGGGAUAACGUAGGGAAACUUACGCUAAUACCGCAUACGGCCUACGGGUGAAAGCAGGGGAUCUUCGGACCUUGCGCGAUUGAAUGAGCCGAUGUCGGAUUAGCUAGUUGGCGGGGUAAAGGCCCACCAAGGCGACGAUCCGUAGCUGGUCUGAGAGGAUGAUCAACCACACUGGAACUGAGACACGGUCCAGACUCCUACGGGAGGCAGCAGUGGGGAAUAUUGGACAAUGGGCGCAAGUCUGAUCCAGCCAUACCGCGUGGGUGAAGAAGGCCUUCGGGUUGUAAAGCCCUUUUGUUGGGAAAGAAAAGCAGCAGGUUAAUACCCCGCUGUUCUGACGGUACCCAAAGAAUAAGCACCGGCUAACUUCGUG
RNAcentral lists this ribosomal RNA (492 nucleotides) under uncultured bacterium. RNAcentral's name for it is "partial 16S ribosomal RNA". It matches the Rfam family "Bacterial small subunit ribosomal RNA", at positions 29 to 507 of the family's 1533-position model. The record is from RNAcentral.